This 644-nucleotide ribosomal RNA is filed under the name uncultured bacterium. RNAcentral describes it as "bacterial SSU rRNA". It matches the Rfam family "Bacterial small subunit ribosomal RNA", at positions 8 to 668 of the family's 1533-position model. The record is from RNAcentral.
AGAGUUUGAUCCUGGCUCAGGAUGAACGCUAGCGGCGUGCCUAAUGCAUGCAAGUCGAACGGGAAGCCUUGGAUUCGCCUGAGGUGGAGAGUGGCGAACGGGUGAGUAACGCGUAGGUGACCUGCCCCAGAGAGGGGGAUAACUAUUGGAAACGAUAGCUAAUACCCCGGAUGUCAACGCUUUUAGAAAGCGUUGACUAAAGCUCCGGCGCUCUGGGAGGGGCCUGCGUCCCAUCAGCUAGUUGGUGAGGUAAUGGCUCACCAAGGCAAAGACGGGUAGGGGGCGUGAGAGCGUGGCCCCCCACACUGGUACUGACACACGGACCAGAUACCUACGGGUAGCAGCAGCAAGGAAUAUUGCGCAAUGGACGAAAGUCUGACGCAGCAACGCCGCGUGGAGGAAGAAGGCCUUCGGGUUGUAAACUCCUUUUCUGGGGGAAGAGAAAGGACGGUACCCCAGGAAUAAGGCCCGGCUAACUACGUGCCAGCAGCCGCGGUAAAACGUAGGGGUCAAGCGUUAUCCGGAUUUACUGGGCGUAAAGCGCGUGUAGGCGGCUGCUUAAGUCGGACGUGAAAGCUCCUGGCUCAACUAGGAGAGGCCGUUCGAAACUAGGUAGCUUGAGGAUGGUAGAGGAGAGUGGAAUU